GUAUGGUAUUGGCUUACCGUGGCAGUGACGGUUAACGGGGGAUUAGGGUUCGAUUCCGGAGAGGGAGCCUGAGAAACGGCUACCACAUCUAAGGAAGGCAGCAGGCGCGCAAAUUACCCAAUUCUAAUAGCAUAAGAGAGGUAGUGACAAGAAAUAACAAUACAAGGCAGUAAAAAUGCUUUGUAAUUGGAAUGAUAGAAAUUUAAACACUUUUUAAAGUAUCAAUUGGAGGGCAAGUCUGGUGCCAGCAGCCGCGGUAAUUCCAGCUCCAAUAGCGUAUAUUAAAAUUGUUGCAGUUAAAAAGCUCGUAGUUGAAUUUCUGUUAAAAAUAACCGGUCUGCUUUUAAUAAAAGUAGUAUCUUGGUGUGUUUUUAGCAAUAAUGUCUAUUGAAAUGUUUUUUACUUUAUUGUAAUAAAUUAUAUUCAGGAUUUUUACUUUGAGAAAAUUAGAGUGUUUCUAGCAAGCUAACGCUUUGAAUACUGCAGCAUGGAAUAAUAAAAUAGGAUUUUGGUUCUACAUUAUUGGUUUUAAGGACUAAAUUAAUGAUUGAUAGGGACAGUUGGGGGCAUUUGUAUUUAACU
Molecule: ribosomal RNA, 582 nt
Filed under: Hepatozoon sp. CS-2012
Lineage: Eukaryota; Apicomplexa; Hepatozoidae
Description: bacterial SSU rRNA
Rfam family: Eukaryotic small subunit ribosomal RNA
Source: RNAcentral